Cavia porcellus (domestic guinea pig) is the source of this 1029-nucleotide long non-coding RNA. RefSeq lists it as uncharacterized. The record is from RefSeq and is a predicted model, not a curated record. Lineage: Eukaryota; Metazoa; Chordata; Mammalia; Rodentia; Caviidae. The transcript is spliced from 2 exons.
UUGCUACCCAGUUGCAUAAUGGUCUCCCAGCCAGCACCCAUUUCCGCCUGUUUGUCCUUCAGAGAGCCUGCCUCACUAGCACAGGGGUCAUCACCCGUGUCUGACAGGUGGCACAGGAUGGCGGCAUCCUGAGUUUCCCAGAAGCAGUUUUUUUCUGUCCGUUGGUGUCCGCUUUGGUCAUGAGUACUCAGUAUGUUGAGGCUGGACAAGUCUACGGUCUGCUACUCAAGGUGAUUACCCAAAGAUGGCUCCAGUCCAGGGCUUUCAAGAUACUUCAAGGUCGAGCUUUUAUGAUGCCAGAAUGCUGAGUUUUCUCUGUGAAAGGCCACCAAGAAGAGUACUUUGGAGUUAUGGUCACAUAAUAUUUAAAUCCUUCUUUCCUUCCCUCCCUAGUACACCAUUUAUUUUCCCUGAGAAUGUAAGUGUUUACAUUCUAUAUAUUGCUGUAUUUCCCUCCCACCCGCCUCUUUUUUUUUUUUUUUUUUUUUUUAAUUUUGGUACUGGGGAUUGAACUUACAACCUCAUGCCUGACAGGCAAAGCACUGUGCCUCUAAGCUCUGUCCCCAGCCCUGUAUUUCCCUUUGUUUAAACUAUUUUUCCAUGUGAUAUAAAUAAACCACCUCAUUGUUUAAAAAAGUUGUAGGAACAUGCAGAGUGAUUUUAGUCAUUUUUUAAAAAAAUUUUAACAUAUAUGAAGGUUUGGACAGCUAUUUUGAAGAGAAUGAGAGACACUAUGACAGCCAUUGUUGACUUCCCUAUUGUCUGGUUUUGAAGACCUAAAAUGUCUUCAUCAUCCUGUUCAGAUCAGUUUGGUACUAUUUUGGUUUGUAUGAAUUCAUUGUGUGUGAAGAUAUGGACAACUACUUGGAAGAAAACAAGAGGCAAUAUGAUAGAUAGUGAAGAUCUAUUGUCUUGCAUUAAAAUCUAUGUCUCUUACAUUGUUUUCUUCUAAUCUGCUUUGUUCUGUUUUGCUGUGUUUAGUUUUAUCCUCUUUAAAAUAAAAUUUAAAAUAAUUGUAGGAACAUGUAA